CUUGACGACCAUAGAGCGUUGGAACCACCUGAUCCCAUCCCGAACUCAGAAGUGAAACGAUGCAUCGCCGA
Molecule: ribosomal RNA, 71 nt
Filed under: Pseudomonas koreensis
Lineage: Bacteria; Pseudomonadati; Pseudomonadota; Gammaproteobacteria; Pseudomonadales; Pseudomonadaceae
Also listed under: 27 other names
Source: RNAcentral